ACUCAAAUGAAUAGACGGGGGCCCGCACAAGCGGUGGAGCAUGUGGUUUAAUACGUCACUAACCGUAGAACCUUACCAGGGUUUGACAUCUGCCGGCAGUCUAUGAAAGUAGAUUUUCUCCCACAAGGAGACGGCAAGACAGGUGUUGCAUGGCUGUCGUCAGCUCGUGUCGUGAGAUGUUGGGUUAAGUCCCGCAACGAGCGCAACCCUCAUCCGAUGUUGCCAGCGUAAAGUCGGGAACUCUUCGGAAACUGCCCGUGUAAGCGGGAGGAAGGUGGGGAUGACGUCAAGUCAGCAUGGCCCUUACAUCCUGGGCUACACACAUGCUACAAUGGCAGUUCACAGAGGGAUGCAAUACCGCGAGGUGGAGCAAAUCCCAGAAAUACUGUCUCAGUUCGGAUUGUAGUCUGCAACUCGACUACAUGAAGUCGGAAUCGCUAGUAACCGCAGGUCAGCUAAACUGCGGUGAAUACGUUCCCGGGCCUUGUACACACCGCCCGU
Molecule: ribosomal RNA, 501 nt
Filed under: uncultured bacterium
Lineage: Bacteria
Description: partial 16S ribosomal RNA
Rfam family: Bacterial small subunit ribosomal RNA
Source: RNAcentral